AUGCGCACCCCGGAUUCAUUCGACUCGCCCAUGUCUUUCCUCUUGUCAUUACUGAUUAUCAUGUCCGUAUUUCCCGGAGCCUGUGGUAAUGAUUCAAUGUCCCAAUAUCCCCCUGAACUUUUGGUUGAAGAAGGACAAACUGUAAAACUUAAUUGUAGUUACCCUGCAGCAUUCGCUGCUGAAACUGCCUUCUGGUAUAUCCAGUAUCCUGGAUUAGCGCCAUCAAAUAUACUGAGGAUAUUAAGCAAUGGAUUCGAAGAAAGUUCUCCUGAUUUGUCUGACAAGUUUUCUGCCGAUUAUCAUAAAGCAAAUCGGACGGUUCCUUUAACUAUUUCCAGUGUCCUUGUUUCCGACUCUGCCGUGUAUCUCUGCGCCAUGAACCUCACCUUGCGCCAAAGAAGCAGCAGGUUUGAACAAAAACCAAACAUGAAAGUUUCUCUGAGCGCCCACUAG
Pristis pectinata (smalltooth sawfish) is the source of this 453-nucleotide non-coding RNA. Lineage: Eukaryota; Metazoa; Chordata; Chondrichthyes; Rhinopristiformes; Pristidae. The record is from the annotation of a RefSeq genome assembly.